Molecule: ribosomal RNA, 245 nt
Filed under: uncultured bacterium
Lineage: Bacteria
Description: partial 16S ribosomal RNA
Rfam family: Bacterial small subunit ribosomal RNA
Source: RNAcentral
UACGGAGGGAGCUAGCGUUGUUCGGAAUUACUGGGCGUAAAGCGCACGUAGGCGGCUAUUCAAGUCGGGGGUGAAAGCCCGGGGCUCAACCCCGGAACUGCCCUCGAAACUAGAUAGCUAGAAUCUUGGAGAGGUCAGUGGAAUUCCGAGUGUAGAGGUGAAAAUUCGUAGAUAUUCGGAAGAACACCAGUGGCGAAGGCGACUGACUGGACAAGUAUUGACGCUGAGGUGCGAAAAGCGUGGGG